UACGUAGGGGGCGAGCGUUGUCCGGAAUGACUGGGCGUAAAGGGCGUGUAGGCGGCCGACUAAGUAUGGAGUGAAAGUCCCGAUUUCAAGUUGGGAACUGCUUUGUAGACUGGUUGGCUUGAGUGCGGAAGAGGUAAGUGGAAUUCCCAGCGUAGCGGUGAAAUGCGUAGAGAUUGGGAGGAACACCAGUGGGGAAGGCGACUUACUGGGCCGUAACUGACGCUGAGGCGCGAAAGCGUGGGGAGCGAAC
Molecule: ribosomal RNA, 250 nt
Filed under: uncultured prokaryote
Description: partial 16S ribosomal RNA
Rfam family: Bacterial small subunit ribosomal RNA
Source: RNAcentral